GGAAAAAAGAGAAGAGAGAGAAAAC
Molecule: small RNA, 25 nt
Filed under: Arabidopsis thaliana (thale cress)
Lineage: Eukaryota; Viridiplantae; Streptophyta; Magnoliopsida; Brassicales; Brassicaceae
Description: ATSL184190
Source: RNAcentral